Molecule: long non-coding RNA, 2801 nt
Filed under: Takifugu rubripes (torafugu)
Lineage: Eukaryota; Metazoa; Chordata; Actinopteri; Tetraodontiformes; Tetraodontidae
Description: lncRNA (ENSTRUG00000028406.1)
Source: RNAcentral
GUCUAUGUGAGCCAGGUCAGAGGUCAUGCUGCGAAGGGAGUCAGAUUCGCACGGCCUCUUUUCCUCUGGAGAGACAUCUGAUAAUGACUGUGAGAUGGAGGCGAGCUGCAGAGAGGUGGAUGCAGUGUGUCUGUGCAACACCGGUCCCUGUACACUAUAUUCAGAAGCGCACACCCUCACACCGGACACGCUGCUGUGUCACCACUGUGGAAAGAGCAGAGUGAUGGUAACCAGAUACUCGGAGGGAUACGGUACUGAGGAGGAGUGUCUGUUGUCUGACCCUCAGGGGGAAAGUGACGCCGAUGCCGACAUCGAGGAUACAGAUUGCAGACUCCAGGAGCCGGGGUCGCUCCAGCGGAUUAGCUCACGCAGACGCAAGCGGCCACGCGUUUCAAGGCAGGACACCACGGAGAGUGAAGACGACGGCGGGCGAAGCCACAGAUCACAUCGCUGGAACCUCAGGCUGAGUCCCGACAGAACCCGCAGCAGGACCAUACUGGAGGAGAGCAUAUCGCAGGUCAGGCCACUGGUCAUCUGUCAAACCAAUGUGGAGAAGCAAAAUAGUCCAUUUGCGGCGUCCCGGAGCUCCAGACUGCUGACAACUUUGUGGUCACCUUCCCUCUCUCUUCCCUUUGUCCUCCUCGUCUCGCUGCCGCUCUCCCUCUCGCUCAUCAUCGUUAUCGUUUCUUUCUUUCUACCAUGGGCCAGGGCCUGAGCUGACAACCUCACCUCGCCCCAAGGAAGGCGUGGCUUAUUCCUUUACUGCAGCCUACAACCAGAAGGCAGUCUGGGCAUCUCAUCCAUGUGGUCUCUCUUUACUUAAAGGAGCAGUGUGUAAGAAAUGUAUGUAAUCAUAAAACGGCCUGAUCCACCCUGAUUCCUACAGUAGUUCGAUCUGCGCUACAUUUUGCUAAUAUUUCACUGACCUGCAAGCAGACCUGGACGGUUAAGCUUCAGCUAAGUUUGGCGAACCUAUUUCAACAUUAUGCAUGCACGGACAUUUGGAAUAUUUUCUGCGCAAACAACAUUUUGCGUGUUCAUUCACUCGCACAUAUGCAGGUGGGUUGUCAGAUUGUCUUGGCCAUAAUUUGUUUGAGAAAUAAAAAGGGGCGACUAGUCAUUGCUAACAUGAGCAAUGCAUUAGCAGAACCCAUUUCUCUGGCAUAAUGCUAAUAGGCUGUGGGUAAUGUUCCAACAUUGCCAUGGCCAUUAUGGCAAUAUGAAACGUAAUUGAGAUAGUAUAUCAGUCAAGUGCAGCUGCUCUUGCUGGAUCCUGCAACCUUACUGGCAACCUCUAUUCUGGGGGUAGGCGGAGGGAUACCACACUCCUCGGUAUUUUUAUUGUGAUUAUGGCACAUUACCAGCUUUGGCCAUAAACGUACAUGCUGCUCCUUUAUACCCUAGAGAAUAGUCAGAUUUACCACUAAAAGCACAAAUGGACACAAACAUUCGGUGUUGUUCACUUGCUGGCGCACUUGAUUGCUCAUCUUUAUCCAGUCUGAUGACUUCCUCUUCAUUUCUACACAGAUGACUAAUUUUCAAGUAUUUUAAACCCAUUUCAGGGACAGUUUUCGGGUGUUAAAAUGGGCUCACAGGCUGCGUUUGCAUCGCACUUUCAGCCAAAAAUGCCAAGUGCAUCAACUCGACACUUGGAUUUGCCUCAUGAAAUCUCACCUUUCCUCUCACUUUCUCACCCCCUCAGCGAUAAAUAUAGCCCUCUCGUCUCGCUCCACAGACUAGCGAGCCCCGGGAGUGACGCGCCGGGGGCGCUUUCAGGGCAGGUACGCUCAGAAUGAGAAACAUUAACAAUGAUGAUGCUGCUGAACUAUGCAAUUCUACUGCCCCCCCCCCUCCCGGCAGCGUCUCAAGGACUGUCUCCGGUUUCUUCGGCACUGCGGCCACUUUCUUCAGGCCCCCCUUUCAUUUCCUUGUGAGGAAUACACUUUCUAGAGUGCAGGGACUUCUAAAAUAGAUCACGGCCUCAUUUAAUAGCAAUAGCAGUUGAGAACUGAUCCAGCUCCCGUCACGUAUGAUCCACAGUUCACCUGUUCUGAUGCCGCAUGUGAUUUUAUUCGCCGACGACUAAUUUCUCUCCCGUUUAGUCCAAUAAACUGACCUCAAACUCUGAUGAGCUUUAGUGUUAUUACAUUGUGUUAUUACAUUGUGUCCAAGUCAUUUGAACAUGGCCUUGCUGUCCAGACUUUACUGUCGUGUUUAAAAAAACAUUAAUGUGUUUAUAUUUAGAAGUUAUUAAGUUAUUCCACUUGACAAUCCUGCAACUGGAAAGUAUAAAACAAACUAGUUUUGUGUUUUUGUUCAUGUCUGAUGUUUUUGUAUUUAUUUGAAUGUUUCUUAUCUCUUCCAGCCUGAUGUGUUGCCUCUGUUUAAAUCUUACUGUGUAUUUAUUCCCAUGUGUACUGUACAUUCACCUCUACGUUUCACGAGGCACUAGAAAUUCAAUAAAAUUAGAUUGUAUUUUGAGAAGAAAGGCGAUUUAUUGUGUUAAUUCCUUUCAGGUUGUCAGAAAUGGAAUAUCGUAUAUAGCGAGAUACUUUUGCUCGUGUUUAGCAAUGUUAGCAUACUAUUCAGUGCCCAUCAUGCACGGUAGGAUCUCCAGCGCUCAGUUUUUGCAUUUUGUAUUGCCACCAAAUCUCACACACAAAAUUAAAGUUAGUUGAAGUGCUUUCUUGAUCACUUCGUCAGCAGUGAAGGUUCCUGAUAACUGCAGAAAACAUGCAGCGGAGCCUUUUGUCCCGGCCGUGUUGAGAAGAGUGCCUGAGGGCUGGUGUCCCAUAACGAAG